UACGUAGGGCGCGAGCGUUGUCCGGAUUUAUUGGGCGUAAAGAGCUCGUAGGCGGCUUGUCGCGUCGACUGUGAAAACCCGCGGCUCAACCGUGUGGUCUGCAGUCGAUACGGGCAGGCUAGAGUUCGGUAGGGGAGACUGGAAUUCCUGGUGUAGCGGCGAAAUGCGCAGAUAUCAGGAGGAACACCGGUGGCGAAGGCGGGUCUCUGGGCCGAUACUGACGCUGAGGAGCGAAAGCGUGGGGAGCGAACAGG
This 254-nucleotide ribosomal RNA is filed under the name uncultured bacterium. RNAcentral's name for it is "partial 16S ribosomal RNA". It matches the Rfam family "Bacterial small subunit ribosomal RNA", at positions 524 to 776 of the family's 1533-position model. The record is from RNAcentral.